RNAcentral lists this ribosomal RNA (273 nucleotides) under uncultured bacterium. RNAcentral describes it as "partial 16S ribosomal RNA". It matches the Rfam family "Bacterial small subunit ribosomal RNA", at positions 524 to 796 of the family's 1533-position model. The record is from RNAcentral.
AACGUAGGGGGCGAGCGUUAUCCGGAAUUACUGGGCGUAAAGCGCGUGCAGGCGGCUUGGUAGGUUGGACGUGAAAGCUCCUGGCUUAACUGGGAGAGGCCGUUCAAAACCGCCAGGCUUGAGGACGGAAGAGGGGAGUGGAAUUCCCGGUGUAGUGGUGGAAUGCGUAGAUAUCGGGAGGAACACCUGUGGCGAAAGCGGCUCCCUAGUCCGUAUCUGACGCUCAGACGCGAAAGCGUGGGGAGCGAACGGGAUUAGAUACCCCCGUAGUCC